GAUCCUGGCUCAGGAUGAACGCUAGCUACAGGCUUAACACAUGCAAGUCGAGGGGCAGCAUGGUCUUAGCUUGCUAAGGCUGAUGGCGACCGGCGCACGGGUGAGUAACACGUAUCCAACCUGCCGUCUACUCUUGGCCAGCCUUCUGAAAGGAAGAUUAAUCCAGGAUGGCAUCAUGAGUUCACAUGUCCGCCAUGAUUAAAAGGUAAUUUUCCGGUUUACGGACGGAUGGGGG
Molecule: ribosomal RNA, 235 nt
Filed under: uncultured bacterium
Lineage: Bacteria
Description: partial 16S ribosomal RNA
Rfam family: Bacterial small subunit ribosomal RNA
Source: RNAcentral